CAGUCGACGAUGAGGGGAGCUUGCUCCCUGGAUUAGUGGCGAACGGGUGAGUAACACGUGAGUAACCUGCCCUUGACUCUGGGAUAAGCACUGGAAACGGUGUCUAAUACCGGAUACGAACUUCAGCCGCAUGGCUAGGAGUUGGAAAGAAUUUCGGUCAAGGAUGGACUCGCGGCCUAUCAGCUAGUUGGUGAGGUAAUGGCCCACCAAGGCGACGACGGGUAGCCGGCCUGAGAGGGUGACCGGCCACACUGGGACUGAGACACGGCCCAGACUCCUACGGGAGGCAGCAGUGGGGAAUAUUGCACAAUGGGCGCAAGCCUGAUGCAGCAACGCCGCGUGAGGGACGACGGCCUUCGGGUUGUAAACCUCUUUUAGUAGGGAAGAAGCGAAAGUGACGGUACCUGCAGAAAAAGCACCGGCUAACUACGUGCCAGCAGCCGCGGUAAUACGUAGGGUGCAAGCGUUGUCCGGAAUUAUUGGGCGUAAAGAGCUCGUAGGCGGUUUGUCGCGUCUGCUGUGAAAUCCGGAGGCUCAACCUCCGGCCUGCAGUGGGUACGGGCAGACUAGAGUGCGGUAGGGGAGAUUGGAAUUCCUGGUGUAGCGGUGGAAUGCGCAGAUAUCAGGAGGAACACCAAUGGCGAAGGCAGAUCUCUGGGCCGUAACUGACGCUGAGGAGCGAAAGCAUGGGGAGCGAACAGGAUUAGAU
Molecule: ribosomal RNA, 709 nt
Filed under: uncultured bacterium
Lineage: Bacteria
Description: bacterial SSU rRNA
Rfam family: Bacterial small subunit ribosomal RNA
Source: RNAcentral